UAAGUCCCCAGGGUCAAAAAGUGAUGCCCUCCUCGUGCUUGCACGAAAGGACGGGCAUUACCUUUUGACCCGCCCAAACAUGAGAACGCAGCGGUUUUCCGCGUAGUUCGAAUGUUUGCAGGAUUGCGGGAGCUGCUUGCAACGCAGCGGUUUACAACUUU
Molecule: small RNA, 161 nt
Organism: Roseburia sp. CAG:309
Lineage: Bacteria; Bacillati; Bacillota; Clostridia; Lachnospirales; Lachnospiraceae
Rfam family: Clostridiales-1 RNA
Source: Rfam